Molecule: ribosomal RNA, 251 nt
Filed under: uncultured prokaryote
Description: partial 16S rRNA
Rfam family: Bacterial small subunit ribosomal RNA
Source: RNAcentral
ACGUAGGGUGCGAGCGUUAAUCGGAAUUACUGGGCGUAAAGCGUGCGCAGGCGGUUUUGUAAGUCAGAUGUGAAAGCCCCGGGCUCAACCUGGGAACUGCGUUUGAAACUACAAGGCUAGAGUAUGGGAGAGGGGGGUAGAAUUCCACGUGUAGCAGUGAAAUGCGUAGAGAUGUGGAGGAAUACCAAUGGCGAAGGCAGCCCCCUGGCCUAAUACUGACGCUCAUGCACGAAAGCGUGGGGAGCAAACAG